GACGAACGCUGGCGGCGUGCUUAACACAUGCAAGUCGAACGGAAAGGCCCUGCUUUUGUGGGGUGCUCGAGUGGCGAACGGGUGAGUAACACGUGAGUAACCUGCCCUUGACUUUGGGAUAACUUCAGGAAACUGGGGCUAAUACCGGAUAGGAGCUCCUGCUGCAUGGUGGGGGUUGGAAAGUUUCGGCGGUUGGGGAUGGACUCGCGGCUUAUCAGCUUGUUGGUGGGGUAGUGGCUUACCAAGGCUUUGACGGGUAGCCGGCCUGAGAGGGUGACCGGCCACAAUGGGACUGAGAUACGGCCCAGACGCCUACGGGAGGCAGCAGUGGGGAAUAUUGCACAAUGGGCGGAAGCCUGAUGCAGCGACGCCGCGUGCGGGAUGACGGCUUUCGGGUUGUAAACCGCUUUCGCCUGUGACGAAGCGUGAGUGACGGUAAUGGGUAAAGAAGCAACGGCUAACUACGUG
RNAcentral lists this ribosomal RNA (468 nucleotides) under uncultured bacterium. Its description in RNAcentral is "partial 16S ribosomal RNA". It matches the Rfam family "Bacterial small subunit ribosomal RNA", at positions 28 to 507 of the family's 1533-position model. The record is from RNAcentral.